AGGGAUAUAGCGAAAAAGAUCCAUUAAUGAGAUUAAAGAGUGUACAUGAGUGAGGAGGGAAUUGAUUGCUCGUAGAUGAAAGAUUCAUGAAACGUAGGAAACGAAUAAGAGGAAGAGAAAGGGUUUGACAAUCGAUUUUGCAAAAUUAGGGUUUGUUCUUUGCGGAAAGGGGAAAGGAGACUUAACUGUGAGAUAGACUUCACGGGCUUCUCGAAUUUGAACGAUGUCGGGCCGGUGAAAUUUGAAGCCCAAAUGACAUAAGCGAGACCUCUGACAUGGUGAAAAUCUGUCCUCCUAUUGGUCGAUUUU
RNAcentral lists this long non-coding RNA (309 nucleotides) under Brassica napus (rape). Its description in RNAcentral is "long non-coding RNA (BNAP_LNC014144)". The record is from RNAcentral. Lineage: Eukaryota; Viridiplantae; Streptophyta; Magnoliopsida; Brassicales; Brassicaceae.